RNAcentral lists this transfer RNA (75 nucleotides) under Armatimonadota bacterium. RNAcentral's name for it is "Armatimonadetes bacterium (hot springs metagenome) tRNA-Val". It matches the Rfam family "tRNA". From Rfam's summary of the family: Transfer RNA (tRNA) molecules are approximately 80 nucleotides in length. Their secondary structure includes four short double-helical elements and three loops (D, anti-codon, and T loops). Further hydrogen bonds mediate the characteristic L-shaped molecular structure. tRNAs have two regions of fundamental functional importance: the anti-codon, which is responsible for specific mRNA codon recognition, and the 3' end, to which the tRNAs corresponding amino acid is attached (by aminoacyl-tRNA synthetases). tRNAs cope with the degeneracy of the genetic code in two manners: having more than one tRNA (with a specific anti-codon) for a particular amino acid; and 'wobble' base-pairing, i.e. permitting non-standard base-pairing at the 3rd anti-codon position. Lineage: Bacteria; Bacillati; Armatimonadota. The record is from RNAcentral.
GGGCGGUUAGCUCAGCGGGAGAGCGCCUGCCUUACAAGCAGGAGGUCAGAGGUUCAACUCCUCUACCGCCCACCA